UACGUAGGGUGCUAGCGUUGCUCGGAAUUACUGGGCGUAAAGGGCGCGUAGGCGGCCAUUUAAGUCGGGGGUGAAAGCCUGUGGCUCAACCACAGAAUUGCCUUCGAUACUGUUUGGCUUGAGUCCGGAAGAGGUGAGUGGAACUGCGAGUGUAGAGGUGAAAUUCGUAGAUAUUCGCAAGAACACCAGUGGCGAAGGCGGCCGACUGGUCCGGUUCUGACGCUGAGGCGCGAAAGCGUGGGGAGCAAACAGG
This 253-nucleotide ribosomal RNA is filed under the name uncultured bacterium. RNAcentral's name for it is "partial 16S ribosomal RNA". It matches the Rfam family "Bacterial small subunit ribosomal RNA", at positions 524 to 776 of the family's 1533-position model. The record is from RNAcentral.